RNAcentral lists this ribosomal RNA (519 nucleotides) under uncultured bacterium. RNAcentral describes it as "partial 16S ribosomal RNA". The record is from RNAcentral.
ACCAGACGAUGCGGUUACCGCGGCUGCUGGCACGGAGUUAGCCGGUGCUUCUUCUGUGAGUGAUGUCCUUCCUGCCGGCUAUUAACCCGCAGGCCUUCUUCCUCACUGAAAGUGCUUUACAACCCGAAGGCCUUCUUCACACACGCGGCAUGGCUGGAUCAGGGUUGCCCCCAUUGUCCAAUAUUCCCCACUGCUGCCUCCCGUAGGAGUCUGGGCCGUGUCUCAGUCCCAGUGUGGCUGAUCAUCCUCUCAGACCAGCUACGGAUCGUCGCCUUGGUGAGCCGUUACCUCACCAACCAGCUAAUCCGACAUAGGCUCAUCCGAUAGCGCGAGGCCCGAAGGUCCCCCGGCUUUCCCCCGUAGGGCGUAUGCGGUAUUAGCCUGGGUUUCCCCAGGUUAUCCCCCACUACCGGGCAGAUUCCUAUGCAUUACUCACCCGUCCGCCGCUCGCCACCGAGGAGCAAGCUCCCCGUGCUGCCGCUCGACUUGCAUGUGUUAGGCCUGCCGCCAGCGUUCAAU